Molecule: ribosomal RNA, 435 nt
Filed under: uncultured bacterium
Lineage: Bacteria
Description: partial 16S ribosomal RNA
Rfam family: Bacterial small subunit ribosomal RNA
Source: RNAcentral
AGCAAACGCUGGCGGCAGGCUUAACACAUGCAAGUCGAGCGGGCACUUUCGGGUGUCAGCGGCGGACGGGUGAGUAACGCGUGGGAACGUGCCCUCUGGUUCGGAAUAACUCAGGGAAACUUGAGCUAAUACCGGAUACGCCCUUUUGGGGAAAGGCUUGCUGCCGGAGGAUCGGCCCGCGUCUGAUUAGCUAGUUGGUGAGGUAACGGCUCACCAAGGCGACGAUCAGUAGCUGGUCUGAGAGGAUGAUCAGCCACACUGGGACUGAGACACGGCCCAGACUCCUACGGGAGGCAGCAGUGGGGAAUAUUGGACAAUGGGCGCAAGCCUGAUCCAGCCAUGCCGCGUGAGUGAUGAAGGCCUUAGGGUUGUAAAGCUCUUUUAUCCGGGACGAUAAUGACGGUACCGGAGGAAUAAGCCCCGGCUAACUUCGUG